UGGCGACGGGUGAGUACCACGUGGGUCAUCUAACCUUUUCGGUGAGGAAUACCGGCGAGAAAUCGCCGACAAUACCGCAUAGCCUUCGCAAGAAGGAAAGUCGUAAGACGCCGAAGGAGGAGCCUGCGCCCGAUUAGCUUGUUGGUGGAGUAACGGUCUACCAAGGCGACGAUCGGUAGCUGGUCUGAGAGGAUGAUCAGCCACACUGGGAUUGAGAACGGCCCAG
Molecule: ribosomal RNA, 226 nt
Filed under: uncultured bacterium
Lineage: Bacteria
Description: partial 16S ribosomal RNA
Rfam family: Bacterial small subunit ribosomal RNA
Source: RNAcentral